GACGAACGCUGGCGGCGUGCUUAACACAUGCAAGUCGUACGGUAAGGCCCUUUCGGGGGUACACGAGUGGCGAACGGGUGAGUAACACGUGAGUAACCUGCCCACAACUUUGGGAUAACGCUAGUAAACUGGUGCUAAUACUGGAUAUGUGCUCCUGCUGCAUGGUGGGGGUUGGAAAGCUCCGGCGGUUGUGGAUGGACUCGCGGCCUAUCAGCUUGUUGGUGGGGUAGUGGCCUACCAAGGCGGCGACGGGUAGCCGGCCUGAGAGGGUGACCGGCCACAUUGGGACUGAGAUACGGCCCAGACUCCUACGGGAGGCAGCAGUGGGGAAUAUUGCAAAAUGGGCGCAAGCCUGAUGCAGCAACGCCGCGUGCGGGAUGACGGCCUUCGGGUUGUAAACCGCUUUCAGCAGGGACGAAGCUUUUUGUGACGGUACCUGCAGAAGAAGCACCGGCUAACUACGUG
This 465-nucleotide ribosomal RNA is filed under the name uncultured bacterium. RNAcentral's name for it is "partial 16S ribosomal RNA". It matches the Rfam family "Bacterial small subunit ribosomal RNA", at positions 28 to 507 of the family's 1533-position model. The record is from RNAcentral.